AAGAGCGCUCUCUCUUCGCGGACGGAGCAGAAAGAGUAUGGUGUGCGCCGCAGGAGCAGCUUUCUGUUCUGUUAAAAUCUACAGAAUGAUGACUGUUCUCUGUACAAACAAACCGAUAUGUGAUUUGUCCUCGAUGCUUCAGAUGAAGUUGGAUACCGGAUAAUAAGAGAUCAUUGCCUGAUGGAGUGAUGGGAUCCUGAAGCAGCGGCACUGUAAAGCCAACAAAGUCUGGGCAUAUUCAACAAUACCAGAGGCAGUGGCAAGGAUGUUAUCAGUUCACAAGGGGGUCCUAAACAUAGUGUGGAGUGAAUCGAUUCAUGGUCCCUGUGCUGCCCACCUGCAUUAUUCUUCUGUGAUGUACGAGUCUGCCCCCGGAGCGUAAGCAUAGAUGAACCGCAGUAUGUUCUGGUGCAGCUCAUCCAGCAUCAAGUCUCUCCGGUGCAAACUGUCACAAUCAGUCACGUCACAGGGAAACAGUGCAUCCGGGAGGAGAACCAGUGGAGAUGUUCCUGCAGUGUAAAAUGUCUUGAAAUUGUCAUUUUAAUAAAUCUAUGAAAGUGGA
Molecule: long non-coding RNA, 562 nt
Organism: Boleophthalmus pectinirostris (great blue-spotted mudskipper)
Lineage: Eukaryota; Metazoa; Chordata; Actinopteri; Gobiiformes; Gobiidae
Exons: 6
Source: RefSeq, a predicted model, not a curated record